AUAUAAGUAGUAUAUAGAAUAAAUCUGUUCUUAUCAGCUUAAUAUCUGAUACGUUUCCUAUUGGGAAACCAGAAUAUUAAACUGAUUUUUGGAACUUGGCGGAGUAACUGGGGCUUGCUCCGACUGUGCCGCGGGUUUGAUGAUUGCUUCAAUGAAUAAAAACCUUCACUCG
Cephus cinctus (wheat stem sawfly) is the source of this 172-nucleotide small nuclear RNA. RefSeq annotates it as U2 spliceosomal RNA. NCBI's taxonomy places the organism in Eukaryota, Metazoa, Arthropoda, Insecta, Hymenoptera, Cephidae. The transcript has a single exon. The record is from RefSeq and is a predicted model, not a curated record.